This 267-nucleotide unclassified non-coding RNA is filed under the name plant metagenome. RNAcentral's name for it is "partial contains small subunit ribosomal RNA, internal transcribed spacer 1, and 5.8S ribosomal RNA". The record is from RNAcentral.
UUUCCGUAGGUGAACCUGCGGAAGGAUCAUUAUCGUACAAAAUGUGAGGGGCAUGCGAGGGCUGUCGCUGAACCAAAAGUCGUGCACGCCCGAGUGUGUCCUCUUGCAUAAUAAUCCAUCUCACCCUUUGUGCAUCACCGCGUGGGCACCCUUCGGGAUCAUCUCGGAGGGGGGCUCGCGUUUUCACACAAACCCCCCUUUUAAAAGUGUAGAAUGACCACAUUUAUGCAAUCAAUACAACUUUCAACAACGGAUCUCUUGGCUCUC